AGUGAACGCUGGCGGUAGGCCUAACACAUGCAAGUCGAACGGCAGCACAGUAAGAGCUUGCUCUUACGGGUGGCGAGUGGCGGACGGGUGAGGAAUACAUCGGAAUCUACUUUUUCGUGGGGGAUAACGUAGGGAAACUUACGCUAAUACCGCAUACGACCUACGGGUGAAAGCAGGGGAUCUUCGGACCUUGCGCGAUUGAAUGAGCCGAUGUCGGAUUAGCUAGUUGGCGGGGUAAAGGCCCACCAAGGCGACGAUCCGUAGCUGGUCUGAGAGGAUGAUCGGCCACACUGGACCUGAGACACGGUCCAGACUCCUACGGGAGGCAGCAGUGGGGAAUAUUGGACAAUGGGCGCAAGCCUGAUCCAGCCAUACCGCGUGGGUGAAGAAGGCCUUCGGGUUGUAAAGCCCUUUUGUUGGGAAAGAAAAGCAGCAGGUUAAUACCCCGCUGUUCUGACGGUACCCAAAGAAUAAGCACCGGCUAACUUCGU
Molecule: ribosomal RNA, 491 nt
Filed under: uncultured bacterium
Lineage: Bacteria
Description: partial 16S ribosomal RNA
Rfam family: Bacterial small subunit ribosomal RNA
Source: RNAcentral